RNAcentral lists this ribosomal RNA (274 nucleotides) under uncultured bacterium. RNAcentral describes it as "partial 16S ribosomal RNA". It matches the Rfam family "Bacterial small subunit ribosomal RNA", at positions 523 to 796 of the family's 1533-position model. The record is from RNAcentral.
AUACAGAGGGUGCAAGCGUUAUUCGGAAUCACUGGGCGUAAAGGACGCGUAGGCGGGUUGGCAAGUCAGAUGUGAAAUCCUACAGCUUAACUGUAGAACUGCAUUUGAAACUGCUAACCUAGAGUAUGGGAGGGGGAGAUGGAAUUAGUGGUGUAGGGGUAAAAUCCGUAGAUAUCACUAGGAAUACCGAAAGCGAAGGCGAUCUCCUGGAACAUAACUGACGCUAAGGCGUGAAAGCGUGGGGAGCAAACAGGAUUAGAAACCCUAGUAGUCC